Papaver somniferum (opium poppy) is the source of this 2790-nucleotide long non-coding RNA. RefSeq lists it as uncharacterized. The record is from RefSeq and is a predicted model, not a curated record. The transcript is spliced from 9 exons. Lineage: Eukaryota; Viridiplantae; Streptophyta; Magnoliopsida; Ranunculales; Papaveraceae.
UGCCUCCUCUUCUUCCAUUUCUCUGCAAGUCCCUCCUCUUCUCGCUCAUCCUUUUUCUGCCUCCGAAGAAGAAUUUCUUACCUCUCCAUAUUCAUUGAUUUCUUACAAAAACUAAUAGAUUUUUAUGAUAACAAACACUACACCAUGAACCAGGAAGAAAAACCAUUUCGUUCUUCACUCCAGAUCUAUUUGUAUCAUUAUGUUCGAUCUAAAACCAUUUUCUGCAAUCAUAACUCAAAACCAUUCUUCUUAACCAUUUCCUUUUUCAUCUUUGUUGUUUCUGUGGUAAUUAAUAGUUCUUCUUAUUGGAACUAAAGUUAUGCUUUAAAUGAGUUUUUAGAAGACGAACAAUCAGCCUCAGUUAGAUUUCUUGAACUUCUUCAGGUCACGUCCAAAGGGUAUGGGUUUGUUGUGUUCUGUACACGUGCAGCAGCUGAGGAAAUUUUGCAGACCUAUAAUGGCCCUGCAAUGCAGAACAACCUUUAGAUUGAACUGGGCUCAUUUAGCAUGGGAGAUAAGUGUUCAAAUGUUGGUUCUGACUGUUCUAUAUCUGUAGAGGAUUUGGCUUAUGAUGUUAUAGAUUCAUUAUUGCAGGAAACUUUUGCAAGUACAUACUUGUCUGUUAGGUUCGGGAGGAUAAGGAGAGGACACAGGAAAUUUACAGAAAUGAACGGUGUUUAUUGUUCUAGUAGGCCGAUACAUGUAGGCGUUGCAACCCCAAGGAAAGCAACCUGGUUCCAGCAAAUCUCAUCUCAAGACUGUCUUGGAUACGUAUUCCUUGGUGGAUAUGGGCAGGAGGUUAGACAAAUUAUCAGUGAGCUGAUAGUAAAGAACUGAGUCUCUCAGUGGCGCCGAUGUCCCUAUGGUUCUCAAAUUUGGGAGCACAUCCUAGUCCGGGUUCGCUGAUCUUAUUCGUUUGAGGAAAAGUUUUGUAGGAGGUAUGAAUGGCUAAGGAGAGCAAGACGUUGUUGGUAUGAAUUGCGUCUUUGUUAUUGAAGUCAAUGAUCACACUCCUUCAUAGGUGUGAUUAAAUGAGUAAUAUGGAAGUGGAUAACCACCUGAUGAACACCAACAGUGAUUCCAUAAACAUCUAAAUCCUGGUGCAAGUCGCGACAAUCUCUUUGAGUUCUCCAACUAGUUGAAAGUAUAGAUGGAGGUUAGAACACGCUCCUCCUUUAAGGUUAGUUUGAUGAAAGGUGGGUGGCGUGUUUUGACUCAAGGCGACAUUCUCUCUAUCCAGGAUUCGGUGCCCCUUCUUUCAGUGGUACUAUAAUUCCUCUUUCUAUCUCUGUAUUCCCUCUUUUGGUCGAUCUACAUUCCAGGAAAUUCAUACACUCCAUCUUUUCGACGCUCAAGUGAGGCAUGGUUUGAUGAAAGCAAGGGAGCAAGAGGGCUGCUAUUUCGUUACCUAUCUUCAUAGGAAUGAGUGGAAUAAUGGCAAAUUGCCGGGUACAUCAAGAUUACUUAACACCUAGCCCAAAGUUGCUUUCCCAGAUCACUGCACUACGUAUCAUCCUAAAGUGUUAAAGCAUGGGAUGGCUCAAUCAGCACUUAGAAACAUAAGCUUGUGAAAUAACUACUCCUAAUUCCAGACCUGUCAAUGCGAAUGGAACCACCUUUUUCCCAUAGAGCUUGUCUGCCCCCCUAUUUGAAUGUAAAUAUAAUAGAUGAAUAGUCAUUCCAUGAAUAAUCAGGAGUUCCUUCUUUCUAUCUCUCUCCCGGUGAAAGCAGCUACUUUCAUUAUUGUACAAGUAAACCUGAUGGGACGUCGGCCUUUGCUAAGGACUUUGCCGGGGAGAUAGAAUAAUUAUUCUUAGCUAGCUUUCUUGAGUAAGACUUUCAUUUAAAGGGUAAAAGCCCGUCGUUAUACUUGGUCUAGAGGUGCUAUUUACGCCCAACCUUUCACUCUACAUUCGAAAGAACCGACCCCAGGUAGUCGAGUCUCUAACACCAACCUAUAAUAUUGAAAUGAUAUACCACAACCCAAGGGCAGGUCCAAGGUCAUGGAUAAGAAAGUAGGUUGGCGAGGACCCCAUCUUAUACCAGCAUUUCUUUUGGUUCUUCGGGCAUCGAAUUUCACAUAACAAUUCACAGUGAGGCAGAACAACCUCUGGUUAAGAAAAGGUACCUGAAAUCCAAACAUAGGGGAUCUAAUCCCAUAGAGAUGAUAAAUCUUCUCCUCUAAAUUCAAUGAAAUGCCCAUGCUAUGAUCUCAUUGAAUCCACUCUUCUGACCAAUGCCCUUGAGAUGAUCUUCCAGUUCCUAAAAGUCUCAACUUUAGUGAGUAUCCAGGAACUACCUCAGUCAUUGCCCGGGCUAGCCUCAAGCUAGAAAGAUUUAUCGCGACCGGAGCUCAACAAGAUAGUCGAGUUAGAGAGGACAAAACAGAAAGUAUCAUGGUACGUCGUCCUUCCUUAAAAUGAAACUUUCAUGCUGGAGCAAGAACUAGCAUAAAAGGUCGAUCUAUUACGACCAGCACGGUUGUUCGUUAUUUCAUUUUCUCUUCAUGUACUUCGUGCUGAUGAAGGUGUGGGUAGGGAAGGUCUACUUGGUGUAGUUGGAUUCCUCAAAGAUCUACAGUGUACUGUUCAGGAAUUUUUGGCUCAGUUCAUCAUCGGGAAGAAUUCAGGAAUUACAUGUGCGACUUGUAUGAAUUCAGGACUUCAUUAAUUAGUUUCUUUUGUGAUAUUGAACCCAAGUGUAAACUGAUUUCAGUUCUGAAUUCUGCAACCAAUACAAUGAUUUUUAUUUAAAUAGACAUUUGAAUAUACAAAACCUGGUUUUAUUUUA